GAUUUCUGGUUUAAUGCACCUGGCCCGCAGCCACUAGCUUGUGAGUGCCGGCACGCGUUUACCAUCCUUCUAGAAAACGAUUCUGCCAUUAACUUGGUUGGGAUCGCGAUCUAGAUCUUUUACUUUGAAAAAAUUAGAGUGUUUAAAAGCAUGGAAUAAUAAUCUAGGACUUCGGUUCUAUUUUGUUGGUUUCUAUAACUGAAGUAAUGAUUGAUAGGGAUAGUUGGGGGUGCUAGUAUUGGGCCAGAGGUGAAAUUCUUGGAUUCGGUCAAGACUAACUUAUGCGAAAGCAUU
RNAcentral lists this ribosomal RNA (294 nucleotides) under uncultured Cryomonadida. RNAcentral describes it as "partial 18S ribosomal RNA". The stretch from base 52 to 294 matches the Rfam family "Eukaryotic small subunit ribosomal RNA", at positions 684 to 955 of the family's 1831-position model. The record is from RNAcentral. Lineage: Eukaryota; Cercozoa; Thecofilosea.